This is a long non-coding RNA of Beta vulgaris subsp. vulgaris (sugar beet), 410 nucleotides long. RefSeq lists it as uncharacterized. The record is from RefSeq and is a predicted model, not a curated record. The transcript has 2 exons. NCBI's taxonomy places the organism in Eukaryota, Viridiplantae, Streptophyta, Magnoliopsida, Caryophyllales, Amaranthaceae.
UCACUCUCCUCUCUCUUCGAUUUUCUUCCUCUCGACAAGCAAAACCCCACUGCACACUAGCAACAAUCCCGGACCACCAGACGACUUGCGCAACCACCGCCGAUGCGCAACCACCGCCGAUGCGCUUCUCACUCUCUUCAGAUCUGAUGGUGGAUGAUUCAAAGAAGUUACAGGCUUAUAGCAAUCAUAAGAGAGUUCCAAGUGCACUCGAAACAUCGGAAGAAUAAAUUUUUUUAAGAAUGGCCCUUCUGUGUUUUUUUUGUUUUAUGGUUUAUCAUCGAUUAAUUGAUAAGUUAUUGUAACUUUUUUUGUUAGGGAGUUUUAUUUAUAUAUUUGUUUUUUAAUACUCUGUUAGAAAUAAUCAUUGUAAUUUGGUCAAAGUUGAAAUAAUACUAUUUUUUUAUUUUCAA